UACGUAGGGGGCUAGCGUUGUCCGGAAUCAUUGGGCGUAAAGCGCGUGUAGGCGGUUCGGUAAGUCCGCUGUGAAAGUCGGGGGCUCAACCCUCGAAUGCCGGUGGAUACUGUCGGGCUAGAGUGCGGAAGAGGCGAGUGGAAUUCCUGGUGUAGCGGUGAAAUGCGCAGAUAUCAGGAGGAACACCAAUAGCGAAGGCAGCUCGCUGGGACGUUACUGACGCUGAGACGCGAAAGCGUGGGGAGCAAACAGG
Molecule: ribosomal RNA, 253 nt
Filed under: uncultured bacterium
Lineage: Bacteria
Description: partial 16S ribosomal RNA
Rfam family: Bacterial small subunit ribosomal RNA
Source: RNAcentral